GUCGAUGUGGCGGAACGGAAUACGCACUAGCUUGAGGUGCUAGCGCCCUAUUACGGGUAUGCAGGUUCGACUCCUGUCAUCGACACCA
This 88-nucleotide transfer RNA is filed under the name Mycobacteroides abscessus. Its description in RNAcentral is "tRNA-Leu(gag)". It matches the Rfam family "tRNA". Rfam says of the family: Transfer RNA (tRNA) molecules are approximately 80 nucleotides in length. Their secondary structure includes four short double-helical elements and three loops (D, anti-codon, and T loops). RNAcentral also lists the same sequence under 15 other names. Lineage: Bacteria; Bacillati; Actinomycetota; Actinomycetes; Mycobacteriales; Mycobacteriaceae. The record is from RNAcentral.